GACGAACGCUGGCGGCGUGCUUAACACAUGCAAGUCGAACGGGAAGGCCCUGCUUUUGUGGGGUGCUCGAGUGGCGAACGGGUGAGUAACACGUGAGUAACCUGCCCUUGACUUUGGGAUAACUUCGGGAAACUGGGGCUAAUACCGGAUAGGAGCUCCUGCUGCAUGGUGGGGGUUGGAAAGUUUCGGCGGCUGGGGAUGGACUCGCGGCUUAUCAGCUUGUUGGUGGGGUAGUGGCUUACCAAGGCUUUGACGGGUAGCCGGCCUGAGAGGGUGACCGGCCACAUUGGGACUGAGAUACGGCCCAGACUCCUACGGGAGGCAGCAGUGGGGAAUAUUGCACAAUGGGCGGAAGCCUGAUGCAGCAACGCCGCGUGCGGGAUGACGGCCUUCGGGUUGUAAACCGCUUUCGCCUGUGACGAAGCGUGAGUGACGGUAAUGGGUAAAGAAGCACCGGCUAACUACGUG
This 468-nucleotide ribosomal RNA is filed under the name uncultured bacterium. Its description in RNAcentral is "partial 16S ribosomal RNA". It matches the Rfam family "Bacterial small subunit ribosomal RNA", at positions 28 to 507 of the family's 1533-position model. The record is from RNAcentral.